This 269-nucleotide ribosomal RNA is filed under the name uncultured prokaryote. RNAcentral describes it as "partial 16S ribosomal RNA". It matches the Rfam family "Bacterial small subunit ribosomal RNA", at positions 524 to 792 of the family's 1533-position model. The record is from RNAcentral.
UACGGGGGGUGCAAGCGUUAUUCGGAAUCAUUGGGCGUAAAGAGCGCGUAGGCGGCCCUUUAAGUCAGAUGUGAAAGCCCGGGGCUUAACCCCGGAAGUGCAUUUGAAACUAUUGGGCUUGAGUAUGGGAGAGGGAAGUGGAAUUCCUGGUGUAGAGGUGAAAUUCGUAGAUAUCAGGAGGAACACCGGUGGCGAAGGCGGCUUCCUGGACCAAUACUGACGCUGAGGCGCGAAGGCGUGGGGAGCAAACAGGAUUAGAUACCCCCGUA